GACGAACGCUGGCGGCGUGCUUAACACAUGCAAGUCGAGCGGUAAGGCCCUUUCGGGGGUACGACGAGCGGCGAACGGGUGAGUAACACGUGGGUGACCUGCCCUCAGCUCUGGGAUAAGCCCGGGAAACUGGGUCUAAUACUGGAUAUGACUCCAUGACGCAUGUUGUGGGGUGGAAAGCCUUGUGCGGCUGAGGAUGGGCCCGCGGCCUAUCAGCUUGUUGGUGGGGNGAUGGCCUACCAAGGCGACGACGGGUAGCCGGCCUGAGAGGGCGGACCGGCCACACUGGGACUGAGACACGGCCCAGACUCCUACGGGAGGCAGCAGUGGGGAAUCUUGCGCAAUGGGCGAAAGCCUGACGCAGCGACGCCGCGUGAGGGAUGACGGCCU
Molecule: ribosomal RNA, 390 nt
Filed under: uncultured bacterium
Lineage: Bacteria
Description: bacterial SSU rRNA
Rfam family: Bacterial small subunit ribosomal RNA
Source: RNAcentral